CGUGCUAGACGGGGAGCUAGCGGUGCCCUGAACCCGCAAUCCGCUAUAGCGGGGUUGAAUUCCCGCUCGAGGUCUAGGUGUCGUGGGGACUGCCCCUGAUAAGUGGCGUUGAAGACCCGGCCCUGCGCGGCGAGGCGCUAUGAAUCCCGUCAGGCCCGGAAGGGAGCAGCGGUAAGUAGUUAGCUUCGGGUGCCGUAGGCAAACCGAGUUGGAGUUGGUUGUCAGGGUAAGCCCUUCGGAGCCGGAUCGACAGCGGGUGCACG
Molecule: signal recognition particle RNA, 263 nt
Filed under: marine eukaryotic metagenome
Description: Bacterial large signal recognition particle RNA
Rfam family: Bacterial large signal recognition particle RNA
About the family: The signal recognition particle (SRP) is a universally conserved ribonucleoprotein involved in the co-translational targeting of proteins to membranes.
Source: RNAcentral